Non-coding RNA from Arachis ipaensis, 1161 nucleotides. NCBI's taxonomy places the organism in Eukaryota, Viridiplantae, Streptophyta, Magnoliopsida, Fabales, Fabaceae. The record is from RefSeq and is a predicted model, not a curated record.
CUAUUGUAAGAGAAAAACAUUUAUGCCCCCAACUACAUAUUCCUGUACUUGAUUUGCUCCAACACAAUCCUAAAUCCUAAUCACUUUCUUGCUUUGGUUACGAUAACAGCUUUUUGGGCUGCCUGGACUACCUUCCUCUUGCUCUUUGCUUAUCUAUACUACUUUUCGCCGGUCUUACAUUGAGAAUUGCCAUGGAUGGAAUCGAACCUUCACGAGAGAUUUUUCUCAAAAUUCAUAAAAGGCGUAAGGAUGGUAGACCAUUGGAAGAGGAGUCUGCAAAAGUAGUGGAACUAAUUGAAGAGAAGUUGAACAAUGGCGAGCUAUCUAAUGAAUAAUCUAAUAAUGGUGUUGCUUGGGAAGGAGAUGUUUAUUCUCAAGUAUUGGGAAGUAAUAGAAGUGGUUACGUACGUGGUUUAGGACUUGGUCCAACACCUUCUUUAUUGUGGGGUAAUAAAUCAUCUUAUGGUAAAUUUGCUUCAGAUGCUUUUGCUAGUAAGGUUGCUCAAAAAUUACAACAAAAAAUAAAGGUGCUAAAGGAGAAACAUGAAGAAAUGAAGUUAAUGAAAGAAAAUCAAAAUAAAAUGUUGGCUGAAUUAUCUUUUAUGAGAUAAAUUUUGUGUAAGUUUGUUUCAACAGGUUCAUCUAUGACUCAAGAUUUCAAUGAAAAUUCUUUUAUGCAGGUAAUUUUUAAAAUUUAAAAUUUUUUCUUGUGAACUAUUUUUUUUAUUUGACAUUACUGCAUUUAUUAGCUUCCUGAUGCUAAUAGUGGUCAUGAGUUAGCACCAUCCAACACCUGAAAUCAGACAUGCCUUGUUUCCUGGGUUGUCGUUUUCUGUUCUCCCAUUCAGAUGAGGCACCUGAAUCUAUGCACUUAUAAUAAAUAGAUAUAAUGGAAUCUGUUCUCACAUAAUGCACCUGUUUCUUACUCAAGCUUUUCUCACCCUGCAUUGGAACAUUAACUUAAAUUUCAAUUUGUUAUGCAAAUGGUGUUAUAGUAAUUGGCAUCACUGCAACUGCUGUGAGACUCAUAGUUUGUGGCUUUGCUGCAGCAUUGGCCUAGAAGAAUUGAGCAUAUUUUGACCUUUUUUUUUAUUUUCUGCAAAAUGUAUUUAAAGUCAAUGAAAUGACAAACAAACUUUUAUUAUGUAUUGACAAAUACCA